RNAcentral lists this transfer RNA (87 nucleotides) under Candidatus Kerfeldbacteria bacterium CG08_land_8_20_14_0_20_42_7. Its description in RNAcentral is "tRNA-Leu". It matches the Rfam family "tRNA". Rfam says of the family: Transfer RNA (tRNA) molecules are approximately 80 nucleotides in length. Their secondary structure includes four short double-helical elements and three loops (D, anti-codon, and T loops). Lineage: Bacteria; Candidatus Kerfeldiibacteriota. The record is from RNAcentral.
GGGCGAGUGGCGGAACUGGUAGACGCGCACGGUUCAGAGCCGUGUGGGAGCAAUCUCGUGGAGGUUCAAGUCCUCUCUCGCCCACCA